CGUGGUAAUGCCGGAUGUUCCACAUGAUCGCAUGUGAUUGUGGGAAAGAUUCUAUCGGCGUGGGAUGGGGUCGCGUCCUAUCAGCUUGUUGGUGAGGUAACGGCUCACCAAGGCUUCGACGGGUAGCCGGCCUGAGAGGGCGACCGGCCACAUUGGGACUGAGAUACGGCCCAGACUCCUACGGGAGGCAGCAGUGGGGAAUAUUGCACAAUGGGCGCAAGCCUGAUGCAGCGACGCCGCGUGAGGGAUGGAGGCCUUCGGGUUGUAAACCUCUUUUGUUUGGGAGCAAGCCUUCGGGUGAGUGUACCUUUCGAAUAAGCGCCGGCUAACUACGUGCCAGCAGCCGCGGUAAUACGUAGGGCGCAAGCGUUAUCCGGAUUUAUUGGGCGUAAAGGGCUCGUAGGCGGCUCGUCGCGUCCGGUGUGAAAGUCCAUCGCUUAACGGUGGAUCUGCGCCGGGUACGGGCGGGCUGGAGUGCGGUAGGGGAGACUGGAAUUCCCGGUGUAACGGUGGAAUGUGUAGAUUCGAAAAAAAAAA
RNAcentral lists this ribosomal RNA (537 nucleotides) under Bifidobacterium bifidum. Its description in RNAcentral is "bacterial SSU rRNA". It matches the Rfam family "Bacterial small subunit ribosomal RNA", at positions 159 to 709 of the family's 1533-position model. Lineage: Bacteria; Bacillati; Actinomycetota; Actinomycetes; Bifidobacteriales; Bifidobacteriaceae. The record is from RNAcentral.